ACUAGAUCUAGCCCACACUCCCCCCCCCNNNNCCCCCCCCAUCACAGACAAAUCAAAUAAAGCAUUCACCACCCAUUCAAAGUAUAGGAGAUAGAAAUCCAAAUCACUAGUGGCGCUAUAGAGAAAGUACCGUAAGGGAAAGAUGAAAGAUAUCCUAAAAGUAAAAAAAAGCAAAGCUUACCCCUUGUACCUUUUGCAUAAUGAAUUAACUAGUAGUAACUUAGCAAAGAGACCUUUAGUUAAACUACCCGAAACCAGACGAGCUACUUACGAACAGUACCUAGAACGAACUCAUCUAUGUGGCAAAAUAGUGAGAAGAUUUGUAAGUAGAGGUGAAAAGCCUAACGAGCCUGGUGAUAGCUGGUUGUCCAAGAAAAGAAUCUCAGUUCAACAUUAAACAGUACCAAGAACCCCCUGAAGUUCCAAUGUAUGUUUAACUGUUAGUCUAAAAAGGUACAGCUUUUUAGAAAUGGGUACAACCUUAACUAGAGAGUAAAACAGACACACACAUGCCAUAGUUGGCUUAAAAGCAGCCAUCAAUUAAGAAAGCGUUCAAGCUCAACAAUAAAACUGUGUUAUAAUCCCAACAAUAACAAAUCAACUCCUAGUAUAAUUAUUGGACUAAUCUAUAUAAUUAUAGAAGCAAUACUGUUAACAUGAGUAACAAGAAAACUUUUUCUCCUCGCACAAGCUUACAUCAGUAACUGAUACUACACUGAUAGUUAACAGCCAAUAAAUAAAACCCAACACCAAGCCAUUUAUUAAGCCCACUGUUAACCCAACACAGGCGUGCACCAAGGAAAGAUUAAAAAAAGUAAAAGGAACUCGGCAAACACAAACCUCGCCUGUUUACCAAAAACAUCACCUCUAGCAUAACCAGUAUUAGAGGCACUGCCUGCCCAGUGACUGAUAGUUAAACGGCCGCGGUAUCCUGACCGUGCAAAGGUAGCAUAAUCACUUGUUCUCUAAAUAAGGACUUGUAUGAACGGCCACACGAAGGUUUUACUGUCUCUUACUUUUAAUCAGUGAAAUUGACCUUCCCGUGAAGAGGCGGGAAUAACAAAACAAGACGAGAAGACCCUAUGGAGCUUCAAUUAAUCAACCCAAUAACCCACAACCUCAAACCACCAAGGGAUAAAAAAAACUUAUAUGGGUUGACAAUUUCGGUUGGGGUGACCUCGGAGCACAAAAACCCCUCCGAGUGAUUAAAGCCUAGGCCUACCAGCCAAAGCAUAACAUCACUUAUUGAUCCAAAGCUUUGAUCAACGGAACAAGUUACCCUAGGGAUAACAGCGCAAUCCUAUUCUAGAGUCCAUAUCGACAAUAGGGUUUACGACCUCGAUGUUGGAUCAGGACAUCCUAAUGGUGCAGCCGCUAUUAAGGGUUCGUUUGUUCAACGAUUAAAGUCCUACGUGAUCUGAGUUCAGACCGGAGCAAUCCAGGUCGGUUUCUAUCUGUUGCGCAUUUCUCCCAGUACGAAAGGACAAGAGAAAUAAGGCCAACUUUACACACGCGCCUUCAAAUAACUAAUGAUCUAAUCUUAAUUAAACAAACAAGCGCAAACUAACCCUGCCCAAGACCAGGGCAUU
RNAcentral lists this ribosomal RNA (1589 nucleotides) under Physeter macrocephalus (sperm whale). RNAcentral's name for it is "Physeter catodon (sperm whale) 16S ribosomal RNA". It matches the Rfam family "Bacterial large subunit ribosomal RNA", at positions 274 to 2854 of the family's 2925-position model. Lineage: Eukaryota; Metazoa; Chordata; Mammalia; Artiodactyla; Physeteridae. The record is from RNAcentral.